UCCUUGUAAUGCUCUGAAUUUGGUUUGCAGAUAUUUUGAAAAUUUUUCUAUGUUCAUCAGGAAUUUUGGCCUAUAGUUUCCUUUUUUAGUGGUGUCCUUGUCUGGUUUUGUUAUCUGGGUAAUGCUUGCAAUAUGAAAUGAGUUUGGAUAAGUUUCCUCCUUUUCUGCUUUAUGAAUGAGUUUGAGAAGGAUUAGUAUUAAUUCUUCUUUAAAUGUUUAUUUCUUAUAUCUAUGAAAUACUAACACUUCAUCUACUUUUCACUUUUUUUUUUUUUUGAUUUUGGGUCCAGGUUAGAAAGUGUCCUUAUUUUGAGGUUAUCAACAAAUUUACUACAUUUUCUUCUGGACAUUGUACAGUUUCACUUUUAUAUCUCUGACCCAUUUGGAAUUAAUAUAUAGUAUAGAAGAUGAAACCAGUUAUAUCUUUUUUUCAUAUGGCUAUUUUGUAAUCAGAAUACCACUUGUUUAAAUUAUUUUUCCACUGAUUUGAAAUGCCAUUUUUAUCAUUAAAUUUCCAAAGGCACUUGGGUCACUUUCUGAAUUUUUAAAAUUAUUUUCCAUUGGUCUGUCUCUUCAUCUACCAGUUGCACAUGGUGUCAUUUACAGAAGAUUUAUAACAUGUUCUCACAUCUGGUAGGGCUACUGACACUCUUUGUUGUUUUUGACUUUCUAGGUUGUCGUGCGCUCUUUCCAAUGGAACCUCAUAAUCAUCUUCUGAUUCUGUAGGGGGAAACUUAAUAGUCUUCCUAUCUGUCAUCGUUAUGCUUUACAUUUGUCCCAACUAUACUUUACAGGGAUUAUUUUAUAAGUUUUAUGUCCGGUAACUUUGCAUAUUUAUGUGUAGAGGUUUGCUUUCAGUAUUGUAAAUUAAGUCCUCAAUUAUACUUUUUAAUUGCUUUGUGUUUACACAUAUGAAGGCUAUUUAUUCCUCUUUGAUGUAAGUUGCUAAAUGUUGAUUAGUCCUAUUAAGCUAUUGUCUCUCAGCUCCAGACCCAGACCUGAUGCUGAGGGAAAUACUGGGGCCAGGAAACUGCAAACCGCAUUUCAGUUUUGCCAGCUGGUUCCUUGUUAGGUCCUGGAAUACAGUUCUCUAAAGGCAGACAUAACCAGGGUGCAGGCCCCUCUGAGUGUUGUGCCUGGCCAUGGCCCUCCAUCUGGAAAUAGUUGGUUACACUCUUCAAGUUUAUUUGCUUGCUUCUUUGACGGUAUUGCCCAAAUUUGUCUUACCCUUCCCCCUUUACAGAAACUAGCACCAGCUGGGUAACUCCCAGUCUUAGAGGCCUGGUUCUGAGAUCCAGGUGAGGCUCGGAUGAAUUCAGCUUCUUUCCUUUGUUCUCCAAGUCCUAGGGAUGGUAGAUGCUUUCUGCAGAUAUUCUGUUACUGCCUUUUGCUUUUGUUUAAGAUGUAAUUCACAUACCAAACAACCGACCAUUCUAUGCGUGCAGUUCAGACUUACGCAAUCAUCACCACUGUCUAAAUUCAGGACGUUUUUAUCACUCCAUAAAGAAACCCUGCAUCCAUUAGCAGUCACUUCUUCCCUCCCUGGCAACCACUAAUCUGUUGUCUUCGUGGACUGGCCUGUUCUGGACAUGUCCUACAAACAGAAUCACACCAUAUGUGGUCUUUGGUGUCUGGCUUCUUUCACUGAGCAUAGUGUUUCUAAGGUUCAUCCAUGUAACAUUUAUAAGUAUUCGUUCCUUUUUGUGGCUGAUUAAUAUUCCACCGAAUGGAUAUACCACAUUUUAUUUAUCCACUCAUCCCGUGGCGGGACAUUGGGUUAUUUCCAUAUUUUGGCUAUUACCAAGAAGGCUCCUAUGAACAUUCACGUACAAUCUUUUAGAGCAACAUACAUUUUCUAUUCUCUCAGAUAUAUAGCUCGGAGUACAAGCGCUGCAUCAAAUGGUACCUGCCAAACUGUUUCAACAGCAGCUGCACCACUAGACCUUCUCACCAGCAGUAUUUUUGCACCUCCUUAUCAACACAGGUUAUUGUUCAUCUCUUUGAGUCUAGUCAUCCUAGUGGAUAUAAAAUGGUAUCUCACUGUGGUUUUGAUUUUUCUUUCCCUACUGAUAUCGAACACCUUUUUUUAGUGCUUGUUGGCCAUUUGUCUAUCUUCUGUGGAGAACGGUCUAUUCAAAUCUUUUGCCUGUUUUUAAUUGGGUUAUUUGUCUUACUGUUGAAUUAUAAGAUUAAGUAGGAAAAUAUAUACCAGAUCAAAUAAUGUCAUGCUGUUUAAUAUCUUUUAGUUACAAUGUUGAUGAGAUGGUGUAGGAACUUAAUUCUUGUUAAUAGCAAUUAGCCUAUGGUAAAAUUGGUUUUGUUACGUCAUUUAGCUUAAAGUCAUAAAACCUUGUCAACAUUAAAUGAGUUUAAUGGACUGUUUUUAUUUAUAAAAAGCUGAGAAUAAUGAACUUCAAUUUUAUAGAAUACCAUCACACUGGCCUGUUACUGAUAAAUGAUGUGUGUGCUAAUAUCACUGUGAAAUAUUUUAUAUUUUGAGUUCAGUGACGGCUAAUUCAUUUGCCACUAGGCUAGAUAAAUCUGAUAGCAUGUUUUUAACCUUCCAGGUGAAAAGAGCGAGGUUUAUUAUUAAUCUCAGUUAUGUUCCAUGGCGAUGACAUAAAACUGUGUGAUUUCUGAUAGUGGUGUCUGGUGCUUAAAUAUGGUUGUGUUAAAGAAGGUGUACUUUCUAUUUUUAACAUUGAAUUUGAGAUACUACUUUGCUAUAUUUUGGACUGAGAGCUAUAAUCAAGUCUAUGACUGUGCUUUCUCCUCACAUCAUCUGUAGUUUGUGUUUGGGACCACAGAGCUAACAAUAAUGACUUUCACUGACAAUCAUGACCUUUAGUAUCCGAGUAUCCUCCUGUGUCUUUUUAAUUAGGGGUGUCUUCAUUCUACUUUUGUAGACAAGUAUGUAACACCUUCCUCAGUUGCAAUUGUCUCAUUUUUGCCUAUGCUUUUAUUUCUAACCUGUCUUAAUCCUUGCUUUAGUUUGGGCUGAGCGUUGUUAGCUAAUCUCAACUCUUCUCUUUAAAAUUAAGCCAAAUUGUUUAUUGAAAUUAUCAGUAUGUUUGGUAAUAGUGCCAUCAUUCUUUAUCCUUUUGUAAUGCAAUCACAUAUAUAAAAUCUUUCACUACAAUAGCUGGUUUCAUCAGUUUGAUGUGUAGGGAGGUUUGUAUUUUUGAUCUACUGGUUACCUUUACACUCUCUUACUUAGCUUAUUCAAUUUCUCAUUUUUAAUAGGUAUAUUAUAUCUACAUUGUGAGAGCAUACCAUCAUCAUCAUAUAGUACUUUGUUACCUUUAAUGACACUCCCUUACUGACUACAAUGUGAGCGCACUCUUGGUGCAGGUGGUCUACUGUAGGAAGCCCGUUACCCUCAUCACAGUUUACCCUAAAGCUCAGUGUCAGCUUUCUGUGUGUUAUAAAACAGUGAUUCAUUGAAAUAAUUAAGUUUUCUACUGGUAGCAAAUAUAUUCCCUAAAACAGAGAAAGCAGGAACUCUGAGUGGAUCUAUGUUGCUAAUUACAUUGAAAAUUUAAAAUAGUUCUGCCAAAGUUCAUCCCAAAGCAGCAGAAGGGAUCAGCAAAGACCACUUUCCCACCUACACCUACAAGCAGAGCUUUUCAUAUAUAAAUGAAAAAGCAGUGAGACAUUAUCAUAACUAAAACCAACUGAUACUCCUGGUUUCUUUUAAAAAUCGUACCUGAAGUUUGCUGCAGCUAGAGUAAGCUUAUUUGAAAUCAAAUAUGUUGCCAGGGGAAAAACUGGCACUUUUGGAAAAAAUAUAUGUAGUGUAUAUCACAUCCAUUAUUAACUAGGUUUGCUCGUUUUCACCACCUUUUUAAGUGUUCAUCCAAACAGUACCAUCUGACUAUAAACCCUCUUGCUAUAAACCAAGAUUGGUUCCAGAUAGUUCUAGGACAAUAUUUAGGAAGUUCAGCUUACAAAAUUUUAUUUCAAAUACCAGUUUAAUAUACUCAGAUAAAUAGGUUCUGGUAAAACACCAAAAUGAGGAUAGCUGUUACUUGUAAGAUACUUUCAUUCCUUCAACUUCCAUUUCUGGCAGAUUAUGGAAGGCCCACAAUUUCUUGCUACAUUAUACUUACAAAUGGUGACUACAGGGAGCAUCUUUUUACAUGGAUUUGAAGCUUCUAGUUUCAAAAGACUUAACUCUAGUGAAAGGUUCAAAUGAAAAAUAUCAGUUCACUGGCCUGGACUCCGAAUUUAUACUAUCUCUGUUCAGAAAAAAAAAGCUUGUCAGCCCAGGACUGCCCACGUGCAGUCCUGGGAAAUGGGCAGAGCAAGCCCAGUGCCUCUCUGCAGCUGCACACCCUCUUCCCAGCCUGGAGUUCCGCAGGUAAUACCGCUUAACUGAAGACAGCACACACAGAAUUAGGGUCCCACAAGCCUCUGAAAAUAGAUACAACCCAUCAGGAUCUCUAAAAUAAAAUGAACAGUAUACUGUGAAAAAAAUACUUCAUGCUCCUAACUACUGUGUCUCAUUAGACUGUUCCCUAUGCUAACUCAUUUAAUCUGCACAACCACCUUAUGAAGGAACUGAAGCAUAGCCUAACUUUCCAAGGUCACACACGCAGGGAAUAACAGAGCUGGGUGUAAAGCCAAGCAGUCUGGCUCCAAAGUCUAUGCCCUUAAUCUACAUGUGAAAUCAGGUGCCAGUCACUGAAAUUUUGGGAAAAAAAAUAAUGUUAAAAUCCAUAAGAAUGUUAAGAAUGUUAAAUAGUAUUAAGACAAUCAGAAUAAAUGGCUUAUAGGUAGGUGUGAGGAAGUCUAAGGACAUGAGGUAUAUAAAAUGAGAGUGGCUAAAAGAUUCCCAGAAAUGAUAAAAAGGCACGAAAUUC
This is a long non-coding RNA of Phyllostomus discolor (pale spear-nosed bat), 4862 nucleotides long. RefSeq lists it as uncharacterized. The transcript is spliced from 2 exons. The record is from RefSeq and is a predicted model, not a curated record. NCBI's taxonomy places the organism in Eukaryota, Metazoa, Chordata, Mammalia, Chiroptera, Phyllostomidae.